ACAGGUGCUGCAUGGCUGUCGUCAGCUCGUGCCGUGAGGUGUUAGGUUAAGUCCUGCAACGAGCGCAACCCUCGUCGCUAGUUAAAUUUUCUAGCGAUACUGCCCGUAAAACGAGGAGGAAGGUGGGGAUGACGUCAAGUCAGCAUGGCCCUUACGCCUUGGGCUACACACACGCUACAAUGGGUGAUACAACGGGUUGCGAGAGAGCGAUCUGGAGCUAAUCCCUAAAAUCAUCCUCAGUUCGGAUUGCAGGCUGAAACUGCCUGCAUGAAGUUGGAGUUGCUAGUAACCGCAGGUCAGCACACUGCGGUGAAUACGUUCUCGGGCCUU
RNAcentral lists this ribosomal RNA (330 nucleotides) under uncultured Chloroflexota bacterium. Its description in RNAcentral is "bacterial SSU rRNA". It matches the Rfam family "Bacterial small subunit ribosomal RNA", at positions 1034 to 1382 of the family's 1533-position model. Lineage: Bacteria; Bacillati; Chloroflexota. The record is from RNAcentral.